Clupea harengus (Atlantic herring) is the source of this 1297-nucleotide long non-coding RNA. Lineage: Eukaryota; Metazoa; Chordata; Actinopteri; Clupeiformes; Clupeidae. The record is from Ensembl.
UUGCCACUGAAUUGAAAGGAGAGUAGCCUCCCAUUAAAAAGCACAAAUCUAACAGCCCCGCCGUGUCACACCUAUGAUUAAACAGCUCCACUGACACUGGCCAUGUUUGUGUGUAUGUGAGUGUCAGGGUGUGUGUGUGUGUGCGUGUGUGUGUGUGUGUGUACUAGGGAUGGGCAUAAUUAAUCGACGAUCGAUUAAUUGAUCAUUAAGAAUUUCCUCGAUGAAAUUAUUUUUUCAUCGAUUAAAACUAAUGCAUGUUCUGUUGCGUAGUGUGCGUGUAAUUUAUUUAUUUUAGGGCUGUCAAAGUUAACACGUUAUUCUAUGAGAUUAUUGUGGCCGAGAUUAAUGCAAUAAAAUAUUUGAACGCAGUUAACGCAACUUUGUUUACUUCCGGUGCGCGUUGACCCAUGGCACGAAACUGCCGCGUGUCUGCAAUCAGUUAGAUAGAAGAGACCGAGACGGUAGUUAAAGAUGGAGAGAGCUGAGGGAUUGUUGGGCGGAAAGUUUCUGUUUAAGAGGCAAAAUGACAGAACAAUCGACAAAACUAAAGUUGUAUGUAGCAUUUGUCAAGCUGAAUGUAGCUAUCACAGAAGCAGCUCGUCUUUAAGUUAUCACCUUAAUGCAAAGCACACGACAGAAAGCAGUCCCAGGUUAGAUGGUCGCCAACCCACACUCCACAACUUCUCUAGGAAAUUAACUAGACCAGUCCGUGAAAAGGUUACCAACACUGUAGCAGUUUAGGUUGCCGGUGACUGUCGGCCCAUCAACAUAGUUGAAUGAAUGGUGGGCUGACUGAGGUGAUUCGAAUUGCUUCAGGGGACAAUUCUUACGAUGUACCGUCGAGGGGCACCAUUGUGUCUCGCAUACAUUCCUUGUAUGACGGCGAGAGAGCACGAAAAAAAUACAAUUAAACAACAGUGUCUAAAAUACACGCUGUCUGAAGUGAUUACUCGUUAAUUUAUAAGAUUUAGUCUUCAGAAGAAAACAAACUUUUAAUCACGAUGAAUCUAGAUGAAUGAAUUUCAAAAUGUGAGAUUAAUUAGUUAGAGAGAAAAAAAAAAAACGAAGGUCAGUUGUGUUUAUGAGCACCGGCUUCUAGCUGUCGGCUCCGCUGCUUAAGAGUACAACAGCGCAUAUUUUCAAGUGUAACCAUUGAACGGAUCCCGUUUAACUGCCACAAGAGUUGUCCAUCUUGUAAGUUUAACUGCCACAAGAGUUGUUCAUCUUGUAAUAAAGAUCUCAAUGAGGAAACACGCUGUGUUUUUUCUAUUUUCACUGCAUUUUAAUAUAGCCUAUA